RNAcentral lists this ribosomal RNA (435 nucleotides) under Trinoton querquedulae (large duck louse). Its description in RNAcentral is "partial 16S ribosomal RNA". It matches the Rfam family "Bacterial large subunit ribosomal RNA", at positions 1902 to 2596 of the family's 2925-position model. The record is from RNAcentral. Lineage: Eukaryota; Metazoa; Arthropoda; Insecta; Psocodea; Menoponidae.
GACCUGCUCCAAUAGGCAAGGCUAAAUGGCCGCAGUACCUCUAACUGUGCAAAGGUAGCGUAAUCAUUUGCCUUAUAAUUGAAGGCUUGUAUGAAUGGUUUGUCAAGAUUUUGACUGUCUCUUUAAGUAGUUAUGAAAUUAAACUCUAAGUGUAAAUGCUUAGAUAGCUCUGUUGGACGAGAAGACCCUAUAGAGCUCUGUAUAGAAAUAUACUUAGUUGGGGCAACUGGCCAAUAAAAAUUUGGCUUUAACCUUGCGCUAAUAAGCGCAAAGCCUGAUCUUGAAUAAUCAAAAGAUAAAGUUACCUUAGGGAUAACAGCGCUAUGAUAAGAAACUAGUUCUUAUGGUUUCUUGCGAUUACGACCUCGAUGUUGAAUUAGAAUUCCCUGUAACAGCAGAAAUCUACAAGGUAGGUCUGUUCGACCUUUAAAAUUC